GACGAACGCUGGCGGCGCGCCUAACACAUGCAAGUCGAACGAGCGAGGGAGAGCUUGCUUUCUCGAGCGAGUGGCGAACGGGUGAGUAACGCGUGAGGAACCUGCCUCAAAGAGGGGGACAACAGUUGGAAACGACUGCUAAUACCGCAUAAGCCCACGGUGCCGCAUGGCACAGAGGGAAAAGGAGCAAUCCGCUUUGAGAUGGCCUCGCGUCCGAUUAGCUAGUUGGUGAGGUAAUGGCCCACCAAGGCGACGAUCGGUAGCCGGACUGAGAGGUUGAACGGCCACAUUGGGACUGAGACACGGCCCAGACUCCUACGGGAGGCAGCAGUGGGGAAUAUUGCACAAUGGGGGAAACCCUGAUGCAGCGACGCCGCGUGGAGGAAGAAGGUCUUCGGAUUGUAAACUCCUGUUGUUGGGGAAGAUAAUGACGGUACCCAACAAGGAAGUGACGGCUAACUACGUG
This 466-nucleotide ribosomal RNA is filed under the name uncultured bacterium. Its description in RNAcentral is "partial 16S ribosomal RNA". It matches the Rfam family "Bacterial small subunit ribosomal RNA", at positions 28 to 507 of the family's 1533-position model. The record is from RNAcentral.